CAGGGCAAUCUCUUCUUUUCCUUGCCAUGUGAUUGUGUGUGUGUGCGUGUGUGUCAGUGGGGGGGGUAGCUAGUGGCUAAAUCUCAUAAAAGGGUUUCCUAAUAUGGGCUGUCUCUUAAAUGGUCCCUCCUCCUCACCUCAAGUGGGCGGAGUUUUCACUCUCUCUCGACCAGUAAUGACACGGCAUCGAGUCACUUCCUCCAUUAAUUGGUUGAAACCAGUUCUUACAGGAACCGCCGGUGAUAAAUGUGAGAGUUCUGAGAAAUCAUUCAUUUCUUCCUUCAGCCUGGCUGAGGGACGUUACAGGGGAGUGUGGAUGGCUCUGUGCGAGCAUGCCUUCAGGACAAGCUUUUCUCUUUUCGUGAUCUCUGCAUUUUUUUCACCCUCCAUCAUUUUUAAGUGCUUAGGAAAUGUCUCAGAACAAGCUGUACUUUUAUAUUGUUUGUCUUUUAUUUUAGUUUUGGUCUUUUGGGAUAAACUCCUUAACAGAGCUCAGCCUCUGUCUCUCUCUCGUGCGCUUGCUCGGUGAGAGCGGCGAGGAGAGGCAGUGCUAACACGGGGUAAAGGAAACUCACUGACCUUUUGAGUUGGUAAGUGAAAUUUAUGUGACCUCUCUCUCUUUCUCCCUCCCUCCCUUUCUUUCUCUCUCUUUCUCUGCCCCCCCUUUCUUUUCUGUCACACAGAGCUCUUCCCCUGUUUGGCGCCUCUCUACAGAAGCCUUUCAGGAGUACCUUGAGGCCCAGAGGGCAGAAUUACAGCACCGGGCGGGAGCGGCCACCCUAACCAAUGAAGACUCCGGCUCCGGUUUCAGAAAGAGAGGAUCAUCAUGGUUUGAUUUGCUAUUCCACUCCAGUCAAGAUCAAUUCUUAUAUAUUUUUUUUGUUUUCUCGAUCCCAUUCUUUUCUGAUUCGCCUAUCAGUUAACAUUUUUACUUUUUAAUGCGCUUGGUUAGAUGGCGGUUUGCGCCAAGAUGCUCAUGUUAUCAGCUCUGCGUCUUACACAAGUCAUUUGAUCCCAUUGGAAGGGGUGGCACCAUGACUGAUGUGGUGUGUGUAGUGCGUUACCCUUAAGUAGACAUAAGGGACUGAGUGUAUCAAUUUUAUUUUAAAACCAGCGCCCGAACCGUUCUCCUGCCAGGCCGUAUUUCACAACAAAGUCUUUGUGUAUUAUAGGCAUAUAUUUAGAUAUUGUAAUUAUUGUUACUAUAUUUAAUGUAGAGUUAGUUUCUUUUUGUCUUAGAGAGAGAGAGAGAGAGAGAGAGAGAGAGAGAGAGAGAGAGAGAGAGAGAGAGAGAGCGUUUGUAUAACCACAUGACUCACUACAGGGCUGCUCCACCAGAUGCAAUAACGCAUUCAAUCAGAUUAAAACGCGCGUGUGUUCCUGCACAUAUGCGCGUGGGCGGCCGCCACGUUUCCCGCGUAGCUCCUUGUCGCUCAUAUUCUUUACACGUGAAGAACUUCCGGUCAAGCUGCGUGACGCUCGCAUCUGCGAGAUCUGGUGACGUCGUCGCUGCCUGUGAUCGUUUGACUGCGGACAGCCUGUCAUUUUUAAAUUUCUUCACUCUUUUGCAUAGCUUUAUGUAAGUUACAACGCAAGUAUCCAUCUUAAAACUCGUCACAAUGCAUUUCAUGGUUAGCAUCAUUAUUCACGAAAGGUGUCAGCCAUCGCCCAUUCUGCGUCUUUUAACUCCGUUUCAUUUUUUAUGAAAUGUUUAUUUUUUUGUGCCUUUUUGUAACGUUGCCCUGGUAUGUGAGUCUGGAAGCUGCGAGCGUAUAAAAAAUCGAACAGUGUGGAGUUUCUUUGCCGUUACCUCAAAUGAACCCUCGGUUGAACUCAAUGCACUGCGCGCUGCUGCUGUAGCGGAUGAGAGAAGAGAGAGAGAGAGGGAGGCUGCGUUUAAAAAUCCAUCGUACCUCCUACAUAGAAAGCCUGUAGAUGGUUCAAACACCAGUGCUGACUAGACUGCGCGAGAUUAACUAGAAUAAAAAAAAUACUCUAGCGGGAUUUAUAUCGUUAGAUUGUUACGAUUGAUGACCACGCCCCUCUCCCAGCCCCUCCACUCAUUUCGUUAUUGGUAAGUGUGUUAAUUCUUUAUUGUGUGUGUUUAGUAGUGUGGAUAAGGCAUUUCCACGCGUCUCUCCCAGUGUGUCAAAUAGCUUAUCAGACUGGUGUUGGCUGUUACAUUCGUCCGGCGACAACAGUCUGUAGGCUGUCUGACAUUUUGGGCUUUAUCACCCAGACAAAUUUCAUCUAUAGUCCUUUUCAUUUUUUUCAUACUCGUGGUGUUAUAAGUGAAUUGUAUUUUAUAUGUAAUAUGUUUAUAUUAUAAUCGUUGUAAAAUAUAUCGUGUUGUGUUAUUAUUAUUAUUACUACAGCCUUGGAUGCGUUAUUACAGCUCUGCAAAGGCAUACAUUCCUCCCUUCUCGUUAAAAGGGCGUAUGUGUCCGUGCGCGCGUGUGUGUGAAUGAAAGCACGCGCGUGUCUGUGUGUGUGUUUCCGGCACUUGAAUUUGUCCACUUGAAUUUCUUGUGAAUCCAGAAAACACACCUUAUUGCAUCACACACUUUUAUGACAGCAUUUUUGUCGAUCCUGAUUCAAGUGUGUUGUUUCCUGUAACCUGUUAAAUUGUUUAUUUUACAUUCAACUUGUUAUUUCAUUUGAUGUUGCUCCCCCUUCUUUUUCUUUGUGUGUGAAAAACAGAGUGAUCUGCUUGGCUUUCACAUAUAAGUCGUGUCAUUUCCUCGUUUCUGUUCAGAACAUCCUGUACUUUAGGGAACCCCCUCUGUCAUUUAUGUACGUCUGUGGAUCUGUAUUUGUGUGUGUUUUCUAUUAAAAAAGAUGAAUCAAUAAAGUUGAAUGAAGAAAGUCA
Molecule: long non-coding RNA, 2869 nt
Organism: Paramisgurnus dabryanus
Lineage: Eukaryota; Metazoa; Chordata; Actinopteri; Cypriniformes; Cobitidae
Source: RefSeq, a predicted model, not a curated record